GAGAAAGACAGAGGAAGGAACUUAUUGAGAGUGAAGAUCGAGGAGUGAAGAAAGAAGUAAGAAAGGAUUGGAGUGAUUGAGUUGCAGUGAUUCAUCUAUGGCCAUUGAAUGCCUGAGUCGAAGGCCAAGGCUCCACUUACCAUUCCAAGGCCUCUGGGGAGAGCACCUUCACCAGGAUGUCCUGACAGUCUUCUUUGCUGAUGGGCCAGGAGUCAUAGAUGAACAGCAGCACUUGGGCAUGAAGGCUGAAACUGAAGACCUCAUCAGGAGUUGACCUCAGUAUUUUAGUGUUGCUUCUUGUGCUCUAAAUCUAGGAUGACCUUCCCAUGCCCUAGAGGCAUGAGCUCAGAUCCCCCGAUGUGUGGUGCAGGGUGAAUUG
RNAcentral lists this long non-coding RNA (379 nucleotides) under Salvator merianae (Argentine black and white tegu). RNAcentral's name for it is "lncRNA (ENSSMRG00000012699.1)". The record is from RNAcentral. Lineage: Eukaryota; Metazoa; Chordata; Lepidosauria; Squamata; Teiidae.